CUGAAUAACUCUGCUGAUCGCAUGGUCCUAGUACCGGCGACAUAUCUUUCAAGUGUCUGCCCUAUCAACUUUCGAUGGUAGUUUAUAUGCCUACCAUGGUUGUAACGGGUAACGGAGAAUAAGGGUUCGACUCCGGAGAGGGAGCCUGAGAAAUGGCUUCCACAUCCAAGGAAGGCAGCAGGCGCGCAAAUUACCCACUCUCAGCUCGAGGAGGUAGUGACGAAAAAUAACGAGACGGUUCUCUUUGAGGCCCGUCAUCGGAAUGGGUACAAUUUAAACCCUUUAACGAGGAUCUAUUGGAGGGCAAGUCUGGUGCCAGCAGCCGCGGUAAUUCCAGCUCCAAUAGCAUAUACCAAUUCUGCUGCUGUUAAAAA
Molecule: ribosomal RNA, 374 nt
Filed under: Nematoda sp.
Lineage: Eukaryota; Metazoa; Nematoda
Description: SSU rRNA
Rfam family: Eukaryotic small subunit ribosomal RNA
Source: RNAcentral